CUUGGUCAUUUAGAGGAAGUAAAAGUCGUAACAAGGUUUCCGUAGGUGAACCUGCGGAAGGAUCAUUACCAAGAACCAAACAGAAAAGGGCAGCCGAGGGGCCAUCAGGGCUAGUAGCUUUACGUUGUUGAACGUCCUGGUCGGACCCGGAGCCGCCCCCAUCUAAACCCUCUGCGUACCUGUCCCGCCUUGCUUCCCCCGGCCAGCCGCCGGGGGGAGGAACAACAACCAAAACACUUUGUGAGCAAACCGACGUCAGAAUCAUAACAAAACAAAAAAAGUUAAAACUUUCAACAACGGAUCUCUUGGUUCCCACAUCGAUGAAGAACGCAGCGAAAUGCGAUAAGUAAUGUGAAUUGCAGAAUUCAGUGAAUCAUCGAAUCUUUGAACGCACAUUGCGCCCCCUGGUAUUCCGGGGGGCAUGCCUGUUCGAGCGUCAUAAAAACCUCCUCCCCCUUCGGGUUUGAUUACUAUCGUUGGGGGGUUUUGGCCUAAUGGGAUAGCGAUUGGCAAUUAGUUUCCCAAUGUCCUAAAUAGACGUAGACCCGCCUCCAGAUGCGACAGCACCGAGGCCAUCAACCGUGGAGUUAUGGGAUAUAUAGGCU
Molecule: unclassified non-coding RNA, 605 nt
Filed under: uncultured Morchella
Lineage: Eukaryota; Fungi; Ascomycota; Pezizomycetes; Pezizales; Morchellaceae
Description: sequence contains 18S rRNA gene, ITS1, 5.8S rRNA gene, ITS2 and 28S rRNA gene
Rfam family: 5.8S ribosomal RNA (bases 286-439)
Source: RNAcentral